RNAcentral lists this transfer RNA (83 nucleotides) under Schistocerca americana (American grasshopper). Its description in RNAcentral is "tRNA-Arg". The stretch from base 10 to 83 matches the Rfam family "tRNA". From Rfam's summary of the family: Transfer RNA (tRNA) molecules are approximately 80 nucleotides in length. Their secondary structure includes four short double-helical elements and three loops (D, anti-codon, and T loops). Lineage: Eukaryota; Metazoa; Arthropoda; Insecta; Orthoptera; Acrididae. The record is from RNAcentral.
UCCUCUGUGCCCGCGGUGGCUCAGAUGGAUAGAGCGUCUGCCAUCUAAGCAGGAGAUCCCGGGUUCGAGUCCCGGUCGGGGAA